RNAcentral lists this non-coding RNA (562 nucleotides) under Schistosoma mattheei. RNAcentral describes it as "Eukaryotic large subunit ribosomal RNA". It matches the Rfam family "Eukaryotic large subunit ribosomal RNA", at positions 832 to 1378 of the family's 3401-position model. Lineage: Eukaryota; Metazoa; Platyhelminthes; Trematoda; Strigeidida; Schistosomatidae. The record is from Rfam by way of RNAcentral.
UAUGCUUGUGAAGGUUGAAGCCAGAGGAAACUCUGGUUGAGGACCGUAGCGAUUCUGACGUGCAAAUUGAUCGUAUAACGUGAGUAUAGGGGCGAAAGACUAAUCGAACUAUCUAGUAGCUGGUCCCCUUCGAAGUUUCCUCAGGAUAACUGGCAUUCUGAGAAAUAAACAGUUUUAUCCGGUAAAGCGAAUGAUUAGAGGCAUUGGGGAGAAAUCAUGCUCAACCUAUUCUCAAGCUUUAAAUGGGUGAGAAGCUUAACUCGCUUAAUUGGGGUUUUGCAUUGAAUGUGAGUGCCAAGUGGGCCAUUUUUGGUAAGCGGAACUGGCGCUGUGGGAUGAACCAAACGUUCGGUUAAGGUGCCUAACACGACGCUCAUGAGAUACCACAAAAGGUGUUGGUUGGUCUAGACAGCAGGACGGUGGCCAUGGAAGUCGGAAGCCGCUAAGGAGUGUGUAACAACUCAUCUGCCGAAUCAACCAGCCCUAAAAAUGGAUGGCGCUCGAGCGUUGGACCUAUACCAGACCAUUGCUGUAAGCUGGGCCUAUGCUGUGUGAGGGCAAA